RNAcentral lists this ribosomal RNA (468 nucleotides) under uncultured bacterium. RNAcentral's name for it is "partial 16S ribosomal RNA". It matches the Rfam family "Bacterial small subunit ribosomal RNA", at positions 28 to 507 of the family's 1533-position model. The record is from RNAcentral.
GACGAACGCUGGCGGCGUGCUUAACACAUGCAAGUCGAACGGAAAGGCCCUGCUUUUGUGGGGUGCUCGAGUGGCGAACGGGUGAGUAACACGUGAGUAACCUGCCCUUGACUUUGGGAUAACUUCAGGAAACUGGGGCUAAUACCGGAUAGGAGCUCCUGCUGCAUGGUGGGGGUUGGAAAGUUUCGGCGUUUGGGGAUGGACUCGCGGCUUAUCAGCUUGUUGGUGGGGUAGUGGCUUACCAAGGCUUUGACGGGUAGCCGGCCUGAGAGGGUGACCGGCCACAAUGGGACUGAGAUACGGCCCAGACGCCUACGGGAGGCAGCAGUGGGGAAUAUUGCACAGUGGGCGGAAGCCUGAUGCAGCAGCGCCGCGUGCGGGAUGACGGCCUUCGGGUUGUAAACCGCUUUCGCCUGUGACGAAGCGUGAGUGACGGUAAUGGGUAAAGAAGCACCGGCUAACUACGUG